AGGCCAAAUUGGUUGCGCUCUUGGCAUCCUUCAUUUUGCGCAAACACUUGGAGAAACCUCCAUUUGAAAAAGCUGCAAUUAAGACGCUUGAAAGUAUUUCAGAAUUGGAACACUUCAUCACUAAGCAUCGGAAAGAUUAUGUGGAUCUGCAUCGAAUCACUGAACAGGAGAGGGACAACAUUGAACAUGAAGUACUUGAUCCAACCAUGAGGCCGAGUAUAAAAGAGCUUUAAAAGGCUUCGAAUCGAGUGUUUCUAAACAUGUAACCAUUAUCGGUU
Long non-coding RNA from Zingiber officinale, 278 nucleotides. RefSeq lists it as uncharacterized. The record is from RefSeq and is a predicted model, not a curated record. Lineage: Eukaryota; Viridiplantae; Streptophyta; Magnoliopsida; Zingiberales; Zingiberaceae. The transcript has 3 exons.